AUGGGCUGUCAAGCACAACAGUGGACCGAUAGAGAAGAGAUUUGGGCCCAACCCAAGCAAGGAAGGAAGGAAGGAAGGAAAGUCGUCGUCUUCUCCGCAGCAACCAACCCUAUCCAUCCAUCUCUCUCUCUCACUCCGCAGGGCAGGUCACAGUCACAGGAGCCGCCGGAGGGAGCGAUGGAGACCUCCCUGCGGCUGCGCGGCGCCGACAGCACCUCCGGGCAGCAGCUGGGCCUCCGCAUCCACGCCAAGCAGAAGCUGCCCCUCGCAUACAACGCGCUCCUCCAGGCUCACGCGGAGAUCGACACCGCCACCCGGAAGCCCAGCCUCCUCGCCAUCCUCGCAAGGCACUUCUUCCCACAGCUGUCGGCCAACGUCGGGGCCGGGGUCCAGCUGGAGAAGGGCAACAUCUUCAGGUACACCCUCCGGGGGAAGAAAGCUGUCUCCUUCACCCACGACGGCCUCCUCGGCCUCAACAUCAAGGGCCGCCUCCUCGCCGACAAAAACUUCAAGCCGAGGAGGAAGAACGGCGCCAUCGAGCUCGCCUGGACCAUACUCGACUUCAGAAGGGGCCAGGACGUCAGGAUCAAGGCCGGAUACGAGCUAUACCGCAAGAUGCCUUAUUUCCAGCUGAGGGAGAACAACUGGACGCUUAAUGGUUACAUGGACGGGAAAUGGGAUGUCAGAUUCGAUAUGUGA
Molecule: ribosomal RNA, 699 nt
Filed under: Triticum aestivum (bread wheat)
Lineage: Eukaryota; Viridiplantae; Streptophyta; Magnoliopsida; Poales; Poaceae
Description: partial small subunit ribosomal RNA
Source: RNAcentral